Molecule: ribosomal RNA, 402 nt
Filed under: uncultured prokaryote
Description: bacterial SSU rRNA
Rfam family: Bacterial small subunit ribosomal RNA
Source: RNAcentral
UGGGGAAUCUUAGACAAUGGGCGCAAGCCUGAUCUAGCCAUGCCGCGUGAGCGAUGAAGGCCUUAGGGUUGUAAAGCUCUUUCAGCGAGGAAGAUAAUGACUGUACUCGCAGAAGAAGCCCCGGCUAACUCCGUGCCAGCAGCCGCGGUAAUACGGAGGGGGCUAGCGUUGUUCGGAAUUACUGGGCGUAAAGCGCACGUAGGCGGACUGGAAAGUCAGGGGUGAAAUCCCGGGGCUCAACCCCGGAACUGCCUUUGAAACUCCCAGUCUUGAGGUCGAGAGAGGUGAGUGGAAUUCCGAGUGUAGAGGUGAAAUUCGUAGAUAUUCGGAGGAACACCAGUGGCGAAGGCGGCUCACUGGCUCGAUACUGACGCUGAGGUGCGAAAGCGUGGGGAGCAAACA